This is a long non-coding RNA of Mesocricetus auratus (golden hamster), 4762 nucleotides long. RefSeq lists it as uncharacterized. The record is from RefSeq and is a predicted model, not a curated record. The transcript is spliced from 3 exons. Lineage: Eukaryota; Metazoa; Chordata; Mammalia; Rodentia; Cricetidae.
GCCAGCACAGGGAGGGGAGAGCCCAGACCAGGAGUGGCGGGUUAGUACAGGGUCACCUCUCCCCGCGGGUCUUCCAACUCCUCACUUCUCAGCCCCCACAGCAGCUGUAGUUCCGGGGUGGGACGGGACCCCGGACCCAGGCUGGCUCCGGGCCUUUUCCGUGCGGUGGCGUUUCCCUUUGCAGUUCUCAGCUCUGGUCCCUAGGACGCUCCCAGUAGCCUAAGCGGGCAGCUAAAAGGACAGCUAAAAGAGUUGAGCGUGCAUCCUGGGAGUAGGGAGAGCUGCCCCUCUGAGCUUUAAAAGACCGAAUCUGUGCCGGGGAAACCCUGCCGUUUACCACGUUAACACCUCCGGGGUACCUCGGUGAGAAUUCUCAUUAGAAACAGCCACACGGACUUGCAGAUGCGUGGCCUGGCGUAGCACCGGGAGGAAUUCACAUUUGACUGUGAAUCUGGCCUCGGAGCAUCCCAGGAGGCACGGGCUGGGCGCCGCCACGUCUGCCGUGCAACUCUGGCUGAGCCCUGUGAGCUGUCAGGGCCUCGGAGACUGUCCCUGGGUCCAGAGACCGGGAACUGGGAAACUUUGGGGUAAACUUUGCAAACUUCUCUCCUGGCGCUAGAGAGGCCGCGGGUUGGAAAGGUUGCAGUAUCGGCUGCGUGGGUCCCAGGCCUGAUUUGUGCACCACGGAGCUGGCCAGAACGCUCCAAGAGGAGCGCGAAGUUCUUCAGCUGGUCUUCCGAGCUCCUGAACCUCCCGGACCAGGUCCUCUGCCGCCGGCCUUCGAGGGGCCAGAUCUGCGCUGCGGCUCCCGGAAUCUCAGCAUGAAUGGAAAACCGUGGCUCUGAGCGCGAGUGGUUUUAUUUCUCUUUUCCUAUGCAGGAUCAUCCCGUUUCCACCUGCGAUGAGCAUUUCUGUUGACCUCCUUGAGUCUGUCCCCUCCCCCGCCCGUGGAUCUGCUUCCCAGGCAUCCCUUUCUCAUCCAUCUUGGGAGAUGAAUAUGUCGCCUUAUUGGAUGCGGAGGCCAGAGCAGGGCGAUGGGGCUCGGCCAACGUCGCACAUUUUCUUCAUGCAUAUUGAGAAUAUGGUAAUGAGUGCGUUUGCAUUGUUGCAUGGAAAUGAUGCGGCUCCCUCUGCGGUGUGGAAUGGGCAAGGUUGGUGUGGACCCAAGGGAGCCCGAUAGUGGGCCCGGGGCCUUGUGGCCCUAGUUACCCACUGGGGGGAGACGAAGAAGUGACCUCUCAGAGCGCCUUGCCCGCCCUCGGCUUGCUCUGGUUUCCACAAAGGCGCCGCUGCCUGGGUUAAAGCCUGGUGAAGGGAAACCAGCCUCUCCCGCCUGGCUGUUGCACCCCAAGUCCAUGGGCCUCGGAACACUUUACCGGUGAUCAGAGUCCUGAGAAGGAGAACUUGGCUCUGUUCUCUGAUGACUAUGCGUUGUUUGCGACAAGAGUGACCUUUUAGGAUGAAACAUAGUGGCACCAUGUGCCCUGCACCACAGGCAUCUAUUUCCUUCACCCUGGGGGCGUGUGGGCAUCACUUGACCCUGGCAGGUUGACUCAUUGGCUAUCGGAGACCCAAUUGUUUUCUAGACUUGGGCUGGGCGACUAGGCUGGCUCCCAGUCAUCUAACAGAAGCAGCCCCUCCCUGAGGCCAGCCAAGCUCAGGUGAAGGGGCCCGGCCUUCAGAAGGCAGAUCAGGCUCUGCUUGGGGCUGCAGGCAGGGGGGAAGAUUUAUGCUCGCUCACUCCCUCACUUGCUGGCUGGGAGCUCAGGGCCCCAGAGCCCACAUCUAGCAAUCAAAGCUCAUAGCCUACCUCAGGACAUUUUCCUGCCUCCCCUACUUCCUACUAGGGAAGUCCCUAGCCGGGAGUUCCAUGGCUGGCUGAAAUGCAUUGUGGAAAGGAGGCCAUUGUCUAGGGUCAGGAUUCACAACCAUCAAGCAUCCUGCCAGCACUCCUACGGUUAGGGACUGUAGAGUUUUCCUUUAAUCGAGUCCUUUUCAAAACUCAAAUGCAUGGUUUUGGAUAAGUAUGUAAUCCUUCCACCACUUCUGCAAACUGGAAAGUAGCUGUUGACAGAAAUGAAAUGCAGCAAACCAUGCUCCUGAGCCUUGCCCCUUCCUGCUUAGGGUUCAAGUACACCCAGUGUCAUUAACAAACGCUGGGGGUGUGCUAGUGAGUCUUGGAAGAAAUGAGAGCAUGAAAAGGGAAUGUUUCUUCCUCCAUCCUAAAAUGAUGUUGAGGGUCUCAAGAGCUGUCCUGGCUUAGGGUUUGGGGGGUGUUGCUCUGUUAACACAAAUGUGAAAGGUUUAAGGCAAAACUCAACCCACUGAGCUAUUAUUACCAAAUAAUCUCAUUACACGUUUCCAGGCAGCACCGCAUCUAAUUCUCACCAUCCCUCACUUGGCAGAGACUGUCCAGAGGCCACACGUGGUUGUGUAGGAUGUUUACUGAACACACUUCCAAGAGGAUAACAGAGUACUUAUCACACUCCCACCCUCACCCCUACACCCGUGUUCACCAAACUGUGUGUCCUGGUUUUGGCAAAACAGGGAAGCUAUUUUUCUAAUCUGUACAAAAAGUUGGGGAGAUGACCCAGUCCUUGAAAAACUGGAAAACUGAGGCUCUGGGUACUUGGAAAAGCCUGAACUGAUAUUUUUAAGUAUUCCUAGAGAGUUGGAGUCUUUGAGGCUUGGGGCAGGGAUCUGGGAAGACCAGCCACUGGAAGGGUUGAAGGAAAGAGUCACCUGGACCCCAGAUGCCUAUCCCUCAAGCUCUUCACUGUUUACCAAGUCCCAGAGCAAAAACUGAACUGGCAUCCAGACUGCAGGGUCCGUGCUAGAGUCCCAGUUGUGGGAGAGGAGAAGAGAUCUAUAUUUUAGGCUUAAUGAUGGGUGUCUGAGCAAUGUAGGAUUGACCACACGUGCUGUUCCUCAUUCCCACGCACACUGCUGGAACUUUCAGACUCUUCAUGGCACACGAAGAUGGCCUUGCACCUCUACUUUUGUGAUUAAUCUUGAUAGUGACUUUCCAUUGAUUGGAUUGUCUGAAUUAUACUUUAAGACCACUCAAAUAUUUAGAUCUCAAGGUUUGUUUGACAAAUGGGAAGGCUCAAAUAUGUAAGGCUGAUCCUUCAGGUCCUCAUGCACUCUCCUUCCCUCCCCCUUCCCUUCCCACCUCCAUUUCUCCUUUCCUCUCCCUUUUCUUCCCUUCCCUUCCUUUUCCUUUCCCCCUUCCCCUUCUCCCCUUCUCUUUCCUUUCCUGCUCUUCACCUUCAGCCCUAGCUAGGCAAGCCUUCUGCGACAAAGGCCACAUACUCAGCCCUUACCACACUCCAUUCUGAGGGCAUCUUCUGGAGCCCUCUGUGGUUCAGUCCUAAGCUCAUUGGCCUUUCUCAGGGACCUCUAGAUGGUAGGGUAGGUAGCCACUCUUGGUGUCCAUGAAAAUGGAUCAGAUCCUGCUGGCAGACAGCCCUCUUCAUGGAAAGAAGCCAGAGGGAAGGAGGGCAGAGGCAGGAAGGCUGAGAACAUCUUCCCAGCUUUCCCCCCUGGCCCUCUCUGCUUUGCUGGAGCUGUUCACUCCAGUGUAGGAUAAAGUUGAGGUCCCAUAGGUUGAGUUUUGCUUUCUAGAAGUCCAAGGGAUGGAUAGUCAUGUCCUUUUGCAGGGUGAUCACCCAGUUGGUCACAGAGUUGUAGCAGGGCUGAUUCUCGAGCUUCUGGAAGAACCUAGAAAGUCUACUACCCAGUAGGAAUAACAGAUCCAGGCUCUCCCAAUGCCCCCCUUAGCUUAGGCUUGUCUUGGCUCUCAUGAACCAUCUUAGACACGGAUGACUCUGUUUCUUCUCUGUCAUUCUCUCACUCUCUUCCUCCUCUUUGCCCUCCUUUGCUUAUUUCUUUGCAACUAGCAGUUGCAGAAAGCCUUCUCUGUGCUAAGUGCUGGGCAUGGGGUGGUGAGGGUACACGGAGUCUGGCUUGAAUGGUCUUUGUUUUGUUGGGCAGCAACCAAAUCAGGAAACAAUUGAGACAAGGCUAGGACCAAGGAUGUUGUGGAUAGAACCCUACCCAACCCAGAGCCUCCUGGAACACCAGAAAGGAAGCUUGUUUGGAAGCAUGACUACAGCUGGUGGGGUCUGCUACGGUACAAUGCUGCUGUUAUUUUUGUCUCAUGUUUGAGGAGGGAAGGACCUUAUCAGUAUGAUGAGUACCCGUAUAAAGGGAUGGAAGACACAGGUUGGAACCCAAAGUAGGCAGAGUCCAAUGCACACAGCCACCAGCUGAGGGAGGCCAACAGCAGUAAGAGGCAAGAAAGGAUUUCUCCUCAGAGCCCCAGGCGAGUGAAGCCAAAAAAGAACCACUUCUUGUAAUUUCAGCCAUCCAGAGUAGGACCCUGAAUGACAGAAGCCCUGGAACCCAGCAGAUUGGAUGAUGGGAUAGGGGCUAGGAGACCUUAACUUUAGAGGCACAGGCAGAGGAUGGGUUUGGGAGAAAGUGACAUUUUAGUUGAGAUAGAGCAGUUAAAUAAAUAAGCAAAUAAAUAAAUAAACCUCUGGGGAAAGUGCUUUCUAUGAUAGAGUGAUCACUACCCACAAAUAGUAUUGACCAACUGAGAUGCAGCCCUCCAGCCUGAGAGAUGAGCUAAAUAUAUAACUGGCUUCAAAGACAAGUGCUGAAAGGAAGGCUGGGAGUUGGACUCUAAAUAGCUGACUACAUGUCUAAGCAGUACUGUGUUGCAUAUAUUAGAUUAAAUAAAGUGUGUGAUUAAAAUUAA